Long non-coding RNA from Drosophila navojoa, 117 nucleotides. The record is from RefSeq and is a predicted model, not a curated record. Lineage: Eukaryota; Metazoa; Arthropoda; Insecta; Diptera; Drosophilidae.
UAUACAUAUAUGCAACAUUGUUUAGUUGCAUCCCAAUCCAAAUGGAUGCCGAACGCGAAAUGUAGGAGAUUGCAGCAAAUUUGUGAUAUUUCUAUAUUGUUGUUUUGAUUUUGUUUU